This is a non-coding RNA of Pelobates cultripes (western spadefoot toad), 511 nucleotides long. NCBI's taxonomy places the organism in Eukaryota, Metazoa, Chordata, Amphibia, Anura, Pelobatidae. The record is from the annotation of a GenBank genome assembly.
AUUGUCUUUAUUUGAUUGCCCAGUUUACCACUGCUAUUACUAUGCCUUAUUAUACAGAUAUAUAUAUAUGGUUUUGUAUUUUUUCAUUUUUCUAAUGGCCGUGCAUGCUUGGCAUAAGAUCCACAGGGGAGCCUGGACACAUUUUUGUCCCUGGUGCCACUCAGGGAGGAUCUUCACGCAGGCGCUCUUUUUCUAUGCCCCACCCCCUUUUGGGACAAUUUUUUUGUUUUUAAUUUUAGAAGUGUCGCUAGUAGUUUUGACGCUUUGUUCUAGUGGUGAUUUCUUCCUUCUGACACAGCAACCAGUCUCAAGUCUCGACAUACGAGACAAGUUGUACGACUGGGUUUUCUAGACCUCUGUAUGCAAGAGACAUCGUUUAGUGAGUAGAUGGCUGCCUGUCAUACAACCCCACGUUCCGCAUCCCUCACUCUACUUUUCCUCUUACCACACUUUGUACUUGUAAGAAAAUGCAGAGGCCUCCUUUAUAUAUACCCAGUGCUGCACGUUGGAG